GUGUCAGCAGCCGCGGUAAUACGUAGGGACCAAGCGUUGUCCGGAAUCAUUGGGCGUAAAGAGCGUGUAGGCGGCCUGUUAAGUCUUGCGUGAAAUCUCGGGGCUCAACCCCGAGCGGUCGUGAGAAACUGGCAGGCUAGAGUGCGGGAGAGGAGAGUGGAAUUCCUGGUGUAGCGGUGAAAUGCGCAGAUAUCAGGAAGAACACCCGUGGCGAAGGCGGCUCUCUGGAACGCAACUGACGCUGAGACGCGAAAGCGUGGGGAGCAAACAGGAUUAGAUACCCUGGUAGUCC
RNAcentral lists this ribosomal RNA (292 nucleotides) under uncultured bacterium. RNAcentral's name for it is "partial 16S ribosomal RNA". It matches the Rfam family "Bacterial small subunit ribosomal RNA", at positions 505 to 796 of the family's 1533-position model. The record is from RNAcentral.